UACGUAGGGUGCGAGCGUUAAUCGGAAUUACUGGGCGUAAAGCGUGCGCAGGCGGUUCGACAAGUCCGAUGUGAAAGCCCCGGGCUCAACCUGGGAACUGCAUUUGUGACUGCAUCGCUGGAGUGCGGCAGAGGGGGAUGGAAUUCCGCGUGUAGCAGUGAAAUGCGUAGAUAUGCGGAGGAACACCGAUGGCGAAGGCAAUCCCCUGGGCCUGCACUGACGCUCAUGCACGAAAGCGUGGGGAGCAAACAGG
Molecule: ribosomal RNA, 253 nt
Filed under: uncultured bacterium
Lineage: Bacteria
Description: partial 16S ribosomal RNA
Rfam family: Bacterial small subunit ribosomal RNA
Source: RNAcentral